GAUGAACGCUGGCGGCGUGCCUAAUACAUGCAAGUCGAGCGAACAGACGAGGAGCUUGCUCCUCUGACGUUAGCGGCGGACGGGUGAGUAACACGUGGAUAACCUACCUAUAAGACUGGGAUAACUUCGGGAAACCGGAGCUAAUACCGGAUAAUAUAUUGAACCGCAUGGUUCAAUAGUGAAAGACGGUUUUGCUGUCACUUAUAGAUGGAUCCGCGCCGCAUUAGCUAGUUGGUAAGGUAACGGCUUACCAAGGCAACGAUGCGUAGCCGACCUGAGAGGGUGAUCGGCCACACUAGAACUGAGACGCGGUCCAGACUCCUACGGGAGGCAGCAGUAGGGAAUCUUCCGCAAUGGGCGAAAGCCUGACGGAGCAACGCCGCGUGAGAGAUGAAGGUCUUCGGAUCGUAAAACUCUGUUAUUAGGGAAGAACAAAUGUGUAAGUAACUAUGCACGUCUUGACGGUACCUAAUCAGAAAGCCACGGCUAACUACGUG
Molecule: ribosomal RNA, 497 nt
Filed under: uncultured bacterium
Lineage: Bacteria
Description: partial 16S ribosomal RNA
Rfam family: Bacterial small subunit ribosomal RNA
Source: RNAcentral